This 5695-nucleotide long non-coding RNA is filed under the name Lactuca sativa (garden lettuce). Its description in RNAcentral is "long non-coding RNA (LSAT_LNC003084)". Lineage: Eukaryota; Viridiplantae; Streptophyta; Magnoliopsida; Asterales; Asteraceae. The record is from RNAcentral.
AUGGCCGAUCCCUUUCCAUUGGGAAGAGAAUUUUUUCUGGAUUUCCUGUGUCACUAUUGUCAAUGUCCAUCAAGUUUUAAGGAAGCUGAUCUUAACAAAUAGAUAAGAUCAUUAAGGGUCUUGUCAUAGUCUGUUUCAUAGGUGUCCCAAAGGAACUCACUAUGUGACUUAGAAAGUGAUUGAAUCACCAACUUUCUAAAGACUUUGACACCCAACUCUCCGGGUUUGUCAAAAUGUGACUACAUCUCCAAGAUGUGACCACACCUUGCCUUGCCAAUAGGGCUUGAGUGACCUUAAACUUUUCAAGAACUUGUGGGUUGGGGAGAAUAAUUGGAGGAGGUGAAAGAAGUAUGAUUUCCAUGGGAAUUCAUCAUUUUGAUUUAGGAAAGCUUGUUUCAAGAGAUUUGGGAAGAUCAUAAAUGUCUAAACCAGACAUGUUUUUGGGAGAUAUUCAAGAUAGUUGAUCUUAAUUCCUUAAUAUGACACCCAAUAUGAAAUAUUAAGGCUAGGACCCAACAAACUAUUUUAUAACUUAGAAGAGGUAUGCCGUAAUCAAGCUAUAAAAUCGUUUGAAAGUAGGUGAGUGACGAUUCACCAAUUUCCACCAAGAUAAACGAAAUGUAUUAUUAGGUUUUAACUGGUUUUGAAACUGUUAGAUCUUUUUAGAUUCAUUGAACUGUUCAAUGACAUGUUUCAAUCUCGAGUUGCCCUUCAGGUUUUGUGACUGGGAUGCCGAGGAUCACAAAACAAGGUGUGAAGUAACCAUGCAAAUCACUUGGUACCCUUAAUAAAUUACCCCUCAAUCGAUGUGCCGGUUAACCACACACGCUCCAUCGAUACUAUGAUAAAUAUUAAGUCACCCUUUACCUACCUUGUUAAGUCCAAGUUAGUGUGCCGGUUAACCACACACGCUCCACUAACGACUUAGACAAAGUGUAAAGUGUAAUUUCAUGGAUUAGCACCUUAUUCACAUUUUUCCUAAGUAACUAAGAUUGGGUAUUAUUAAGAGUUUAGUUACUUAGUAUUAUCAUUAAUACUUUUAAUGAAGGGAGAAUUCUAGUCCUGUCAAACCCGUUCGGCUAACGACCCUCCACCAGUCAAGCAAGCGGUGGGUGAGAGUGGACACCCAUUAAGUUGCCAUUUUAUAGGCAACAACCUUAUACCCACCUUAUAGACCGGCUUCGUGAAUGAGGCGUACUAGCGGUAAGACUGACUUUACUCUUAUACAUAUAUAUAUUAUUAACUUAUAAUAUUAUAAAGUAUAAGGGUUGAAUUUUAACUUUUAAAAUUCUAAGGGCUAACUUGGAAUUAAAGUAUUCAUAAGUGAAAACUUUACAAAUUCCAAAACUUGAGGGCAAGUUUUGAAACUAUUCAAAACUAAUUAAUUCCAUAACUUAUGUGUUUAAAGUAGUUUUAAUCCAAAAACUCUUCAAGUUCCAUAACUUGAGGACAAGUUAUGGAAGACUUUAAACUAAUAAAAGAAUUAACUUUUCUUUAUUUUAUAACUUAUGGAAUUAAUUAAGGUUACACUUUUUUUUAUUUAUUAUUUAAUGAAGAGACUCUUGGUCCUCCAUAACUUGAGGACAAGUUAUGGAGUCAUAAAACCAUUUAAUUAGAACUAGACUCUUCAUUUUUGUAACCUUUGCCAACUUUUAUGAGUUUUAUGAAACUUAAAUGUGACUUUUCAUAUAACUUGAGGACAAGUUACAAAAACACAUUUUAGAAUCAACUCUUAGAUUAAUUUGGAUUGAAAACAACUAUUUCACUCAACUUUCUAUUAAUCUAAGCAACUCAUAAGAACAAGAUAAUUCAAAUAAAACUUUUUCAUGUAAUUAGUCUAAACCUUAAACUAAUACAAAAGAUGAAUAUAUUGACAAUUAUCUUUGGAAUUGGAUUAGCAUGAACAUUACCACACCAAAAAUAAGUUUAUAAGUCCAAAAAUAUCUUAGGGUAAUGUUCCUAGUCCAAUUCCAACCAAAAAAGUCGAAUUUAUGCUGUCUGGGGUUCCAACUCGUCGAGUGCACGAACCAACUCGGCGAGUUGGGUGCAUUUUGUCUUUGACUCGGCGAGUCCUUUCAUGGACUCGUCGAGUCUGCUGGACAGACAACAUCAGAACUCGAUUAUACAUGCAAGUAUAACAAGAAAACAAGCCUACGCUCUGAUACCACUGCUGGGUAUUGAGCAUUCCAACACUCCUAAGUGCACAUGCAACCCUAAAUACCUUGGAUCUAUGUUUUCUCUAUUAUACAUGCAAAUAAGAACUUCCAAUGUAUUAUCCUAAUCUAGCAUACAAAAUAAUGGAUACAAUAAGAUAGAAUACAUACCUCUUUGAUGUCGAAAGUCUUCAUGAAGCUUGAGUGCCUAGUGCCCCAAGUGUGACACCUCAAAUGGUUCGCACAACACCAAAUGCACUUGGAAUAACUUGAGAGAAGUCUACACUUCAUGAAAUCGGCUAGCCCUUCCUUUUUUAUCUCUAGUGGCCGAUUUUGAUCAUGAAUAAGAUGCAUAUAUAGUUAGGGUUACACCAUGUAAACCCUAAUUGACAUGGCCUUUCAUUUCCAUGAUCCAUGGGUACAAAUACACCAUGGAGCAUCCAUGGAGCAUCAUAUGGGUUUUAUCCCAACUAGAUAAUACAUGGACCAUUAGCCCACUAUAUAAGUAUGGAUGAUUUACACAAUCAAUCCAUAUAUUUAAUUAGUCUUCUUUUGAUCACUUAAUUAAUCCUAGAUUAAUUCUUGAUCAAUACAAAUUAAAUAAUCUUAUUAUUCUUAUUAUUAAUAUACUAGAACUUAUAAUAUAUUAAUAACCAUAAGUGUCUUAUUCCUCUCAUUAUAGUUUAUCCAAAUGCAUGAUGCCAUGUAACCGAAAUGGACCAUGCCAUGUCGGGUCAAGUCUUACCAAUUAUAGUUAUGGACUUAGACAUUAAUCCAACAGUCUCACAUAAAGACUGAACCAGUCUUUUGGUAUAACAUUUCCAAUUCUAUUUGCCAAGUUCUCAUAAUUCAGAUUAUAAAAAGGGAUGUCGUAAUCAUAAUCGAAUUUUAGAACGCAAAUAAUGGACUCAUAUACAAAAUUUCCUUAUGUUGAGCCAUUCCAACAUGAAAUUCAUAUAUAUAUAUUCUUGACUAAAUGAUUAAAACCUCACGAUCUAAGCUUAUAGAUUUGAGAUGAAGUAUAAUUUCCUCUCCCUUAAUUAUAGCAAAACAACUUUUUCCCAAUUGAAACUUUUGUUUUCUAUAAUUAACAUUGCUAACUUGCAAUACUUAUCAUAAUUAUCAUGCUCCCACUAACAUGAUGAUUAUUAGCAUAACACUUAUGCUCCCACUAGCUUUGACAUGUACUCAGAAAUCAGCUGGACAGUCUGAAAUUUAGAUUCAUACACCCUUUCCGUAGAUAGCUCACCUGUGUGUCUAAGCAAUUUCAAGAACCAUGAAAAGGGAUACCGUAAUCAUGGUCUCAAUUGCUUAGGUAUUUGCCACUUCUCACAAGUCCAUGUUAGUGUGCCGGUUAACCACACGCGCUCCACUAACGACUUUGAGAAUGCAAAUAUCACAAUUGCUAUCUAGAUAAAAUCUACUUAGUGAAAGUGUUUCCUCACCAUCAUUUUCAUGAAUCGGAGAGAAACCUUAUGACACUUAGAUUUAUAUGGUGUAUGAGUUCCUACCCAUAUGAAUUUGUCAAACCAUAAUCACAAGACAAAGAUAAUGACAAAUCCAAAACCAUAUGGAUUGAACUCAAUCUUAACUUCUUGCCACCUGGCAGCUCAAGGGCCUGCCAUUGCUUCCAAGUUGUUAUGCAACAAACUGAGAACUCUAAGAACUUUCUGCAAAGCCAACUUUAACUGGAAUGGGCACAGAGUAUGUAAACACGAUAGGUUAUAAACCUCAAGUCGUGUGCUAGUGAAGAACUUCAGGUUUUAUUCUUGAUUAGUUCUUGAGACUUUCAAGACCUUUAAGACUUUUACUGUCCUGUUGACAUAUAAGACUUUCUUGUCAGAUAUUCAAGAGAUAGUGUGGGUUCUAAUCAAGACAACCACUUCACACAAUUGGCCUAAGUUGGUCUUUGUUUUAUCCAAAACAUCACAACUUACCAAUUUCAAAUGUACAAGAGUAGAAAACUUUUACUCUUACAUUUGACAAGUGUUUUAAACCUUCUUUAAGACAUGUCACUCAAGUUACAAUCUUGGAGUAUGACUCUAAGACUUGUAUUGGAACGAAGUAUGACUCAUCUUCUUGAUUUAACCAUUUCAACAAUUCAAGUUCCUCUUCUUAGUCAUAAGAAUGCACUAAGAUUUCCUUAGAGAACUAAUUUUGAUAUGGUUUCUUAAUCAUUAAGAUGAUCACAAAACUGAUACUAAAGUACUCUCCCAUCUUUUCAGAUUUGAGAAACUGUUAUCCUUCUGCUUAGUUUGAUUCUUCUUAUUCGCUCUACCUUACAUUGGAACCUUUUCCAAUGUCUCAGAAUUACACUUAAGCUUGUAAGUGUAACCAUAUUUAUUGUGUUUUAGUAAAUUAUGACGAAUAAUCUUAUCGAUCUUUUUUGGUGGACUUGACCAGUGCACAAGAAUGUGUACUCGAUCCCUUAGUCCUUCACUUGACUCACACAUCCAUGUAGACAAGUAAUUAAUCUUAAUUUUCCAAUACUUGAAAGUUCUCAUUCAUCAUGCUAUACCCCUUGCAUCAUUCCAAGUCCCGUUCCAAUUGAAACUUGGGUGAUGAGAAUCUUUCCUUAUUUGGUAAAUUUAGACAUUACCACAAAUGAAAGAAUCAAUUUCGUAUUUCCACUCUUGCUAUUAAUGGAAUCGUAUAAGUAACAAUUUUUCUUCAAAUGCCAUUGUAAGGAUAUUUUAAAAUAAAUAAAAUCAAAAAUUUUCUUUUUAUUUUAAAACUUUGCGGAAAAACUUAUCCUUACAAUCCAUAUGAAAAAUUGUUGUUAUCUAUUCCUAAGCAAUAUCUCAUAACUCCUGAGAAGUAGCUCAAGAAUCCGAUCUUCAAACUAUGCGAUAGAAAUCCAUCUACGCCAUCAGAUUCAGCAUAUUCUUUCUUUAAGUUUCUUCACUUUUCUUUGAUUCUUAAAACAUCACCAUGUGACCCAGUCACAUCAUGUAUCAAGAAUCUCAGAAUAGAAACUUAGCAGAGUUAGAUAGUGGACUUUACCUGAAGUAGAGUCAAACUUAUUGACUUUAACACACUUAGGUAAAAUUGGCAGCUUCGCAACCAAUGCCCUUCCUUUGGCAAUAUAAAUGUAUGGACCCUUUAAUAAUGGUACAAGGGACUAUCACAGAUUUAGCUUUUUCUCUUUAACAUUUGGUCAACCGAGUUGACUAUGGCCGAUCCCUUUCCAUUGGGAAGAUAAUGUUUUUCUGGAUUUCCUGUGUCACUAUUGUCAAUGUCCAUAAAGUUUUAGGAAGUUGAUCUUAACAAAUAGAUAAGAUCAUUAAGGGUCUUGUCAUAGUCUGUUUCAUAGGUGUCCCAAAGGAACUCACUAUGUGACUUAGAAAGUGAUUGAACCACCAACUUUCUCAAGACUUUGACACCCAACUCUCCCGGCUUGUCAAUAUGUGACUACAUCUCCAAGAUGUGAUCACACCUAGACCUUGCCUUGCCAAUAGGGCUUGAGUGACCUUAAACUUUUCAAGAACUUGUGGGUUGGGGAGAAUAAUUGGAGGAGGUGAAAGAAGUAUGAUUUUCAUGGG